RNAcentral lists this long non-coding RNA (881 nucleotides) under Oryzias javanicus (javanese ricefish). RNAcentral's name for it is "lncRNA (ENSOJAG00000008823.1)". Lineage: Eukaryota; Metazoa; Chordata; Actinopteri; Beloniformes; Adrianichthyidae. The record is from RNAcentral.
AUGGAAUCUGCAGAGCUGGAAGCACUGAGAGGAAAGACACAAGAGAGUGUAGCGGUGCUGCAGGAAGCAGUGGCUCUGCUGUCGGACCGCGCCUACAUGCCUCCAGGCUCCAUGCUGACUUUAGCUCGAGCUGCUUUGCUGCUCAAUGACAUUCGAGAACAUCAGAGCUCCUCACUCCUCCAGGUCACGAGGAAGCUGUUGGACAUGCAGAUGCGUCUGUUUGGUCAGAGUGUGGAUGACAACGUGGAUGUCUGCCCUCCUGGCUCUAGCAACAUUUACCUCCCUUACAUCACCAUGCUGAAGGAAAUCACUUUGAGGAUUGAUUUCAUGGAGAAUUCUGACAACAAGGAACAGCUGACAUCUUCUCAAACUCUCCACCUAAUCUGAUGCCAAAGGGCUUUUAGUUCCAAGUGGAUUUUUUUCAUUUACUUUUUCUUGGAAAGCUUUGUUUGAACAACACAAUUCGCAAUUAGCGCGGGAUGUUUGAUGUUAUCAGUUUUACUGGGUUGCCAUAGAUGGGCAGGCUGUUGCAGCAAGAAGAAUUUCAAAAAAUGCAAAUAAAGUUGGAGAUGGUUCUCCUAUUGAUAGUUGAAGUGUUUUCAUGUAUUCAUGUACUUUUUUUCAAUCUGUUUUUUGACUGUCUUGUUGUUUAACCUCCCACGGAGAAGACAAAUAUCUUUUUUUUUAAGGUCUCAGAGUAAUUUAAAAUUUUCAAACAUUUUCAUUAGUGAUAGUGCAUUUUCACUUUGCAUACAUUUCAAAGAUUCUGUACAGUUUUUUUGUAGUUUUUUCUUAAACACUAUGAAGACUGGCCUGACUUUUUUGCAUUUUGAAGAAUGAAUGAAAAAUGUUGAAAUCAUUAAAAAAUAUUUAUAAUAUAG